UUUCCGUAGGUGAACCUGCGGAAGGAUCAUUAAAAAUGAAGGCCAUUUAAUUUGGUCUAUUAAUAAUCCUACCCUUUGUGAAUUUGUUUGUUUGAUAAUUUGUUUCUUUAAAAUUAUUGAUGUGCUUGUUUAAUGAGCUAGAAACCAAUCAGGGGAAUGGUAUCAAAAUAACCUUUUUUAAAUUAAACAUUUUGUAUUCAUUUGUCUAAAAAUUAUUUUAUAAUAUAAAAACAACUUUUGACAAUGGAUCUCUUGGUUCUCGCAACGAUGAAGAACGCAGCAAAAUGCGAUAAGUAGUGUGAAUUGCAGAAUACGUGAAUCAUCGAAUCUUCGAACGCAUAUUGCACUUUUUUAGUUUACUAAAAAAGUAUGUCUGUUUGAGUAUCAGUAAAAUAUUCUCAUAAAAACUAUUUGUUUUUAUGGUUAUGAGUGUUUUACAACGAUACAAGUUGUUUCACUUUAAAUUUUUUUAAAAUUUGAAAUUUUUUUUCUAAUUUUAAAAUAAAAUUGGAUAAAAUUUUCCCGUAAAAAGGAAUAACCUUAAACAAUUUUAAUUUUAAUUUUAGUUUAAUUUCAAAGACUAAAAGGAAAAUUUAUUUUAAAUAACUUGAUCUCAAAUCAGAUAAGAGUACCCGCUGAACUUAAGCAUAUCAAUAAGCGGAGGAAAAGAAACUAACAAGGAUUCCCUUAGUAACGGCGAGUGAAGCGGGAAGAGCUCAAAUCUGAAAUCUUCAAGGUUCUACCUUGACGAAUUGUAGUUUAAAGAAGUGUUUUCUGUUGAGUUGGCAAAAGUUCUUUGGAAUAGGCAUCAUAGAGGGUGAGAAUCCCGUAUUUGACCAUUAUUUCAGCUGUGUGAUACACUUUCAAAGAGUCGGAUUGUUUGGGAAUGCAGUCCAAAAUGGUGGUAAAUUUCAUCUAAGCUAAAUAUUGGCGAGAGACCGAUAGCGAACAAGUACCGUGAGGGAAGAUGAAAAGAACUUUGAAAAGAGAGUUAAACAGUACGUGAAAUUGUCAAAAGGGAAGCGUUUGACACCAGUGUUGUUUUCUCGAAAAUCAAUUAAAAAAGGCCGGAUUUUGUGUUGUAUUGACCUUAAAAGCUUUCUUCACUCUUUUCUUGUCUUUUUUAAUGCACUUUUCGUUUAACAAGUCAACAUCAGUUUCUUUUGUUGUAAAAGGUCAUUGGAAGGUGGCUUUCUUUUCGGAGAAAGUGUUUAUAGCCUUUGAUCUCUGCAACCGGAGAGACUGAGGUCUGCAGCGUAGACUCUUCGGGGUUAGAUACAUUUGUGCUAAGCUAUAGCUUUUCAUAGACAACUUGUUGACUAUAUUUAGUCUUGUGGCUUACUCGCUUAUGCUAUUUUACCUACGCUUAGGAUGUUGAA
This 1379-nucleotide unclassified non-coding RNA is filed under the name uncultured Neocallimastigales. RNAcentral's name for it is "partial contains small subunit ribosomal RNA, internal transcribed spacer 1, 5.8S ribosomal RNA, internal transcribed spacer 2, and large subunit ribosomal RNA". The stretch from base 609 to 1379 matches the Rfam family "Eukaryotic large subunit ribosomal RNA", at positions 1 to 630 of the family's 3401-position model. The record is from RNAcentral. Lineage: Eukaryota; Fungi; Neocallimastigomycota; Neocallimastigomycetes; Neocallimastigales.